Molecule: long non-coding RNA, 245 nt
Organism: Lytechinus variegatus (green sea urchin)
Lineage: Eukaryota; Metazoa; Echinodermata; Echinoidea; Temnopleuroida; Toxopneustidae
Exons: 3
Source: RefSeq, a predicted model, not a curated record
UCUGGUACAGUCCGCUACUGGCGUAUUAUCAUACCUUGUGUUUAUCAAGUGCUGAGUGUACAGUGAAACUAUUCUUCUGGUUGAGAAAGUUGAGAAAGGGCGCCCUCAAGUAUGGGGUCCAUAACCAACACAGUUACAGCUCUCACUGUGAUAGUGAUUCUUGUUCAGACGAUCACAGUAUCAGCGAUGUGUUCUAUGGACAGCGAGUGCUUGAAUGGAGGAACCUGUAACACCACGGCAUUAAC